RNAcentral lists this ribosomal RNA (1328 nucleotides) under Enterococcus durans. RNAcentral describes it as "bacterial SSU rRNA". It matches the Rfam family "Bacterial small subunit ribosomal RNA", at positions 75 to 1383 of the family's 1533-position model. The record is from RNAcentral. Lineage: Bacteria; Bacillati; Bacillota; Bacilli; Lactobacillales; Enterococcaceae.
GGAGCUUGCUCCACCGGAAAAAGAAGAGUGGCGAACGGGUGAGUAACACGUGGGUAACCUGCCCAUCAGAAGGGGAUAACACUUGGAAACAGGUGCUAAUACCGUAUAACAAUCGAAACCGCAUGGUUUUGAUUUGAAAGGCGCUUUCGGGUGUCGCUGAUGGAUGGACCCGCGGUGCAUUAGCUAGUUGGUGAGGUAACGGCUCACCAAGGCCACGAUGCAUAGCCGACCUGAGAGGGUGAUCGGCCACAUUGGGACUGAGACACGGCCCAAACUCCUACGGGAGGCAGCAGUAGGGAAUCUUCGGCAAUGGACGAAAGUCUGACCGAGCAACGCCGCGUGAGUGAAGAAGGUUUUCGGAUCGUAAAACUCUGUUGUUAGAGAAGAACAAGGAUGAGAGUAACUGUUCAUCCCUUGACGGUAUCUAACCAGAAAGCCACGGCUAACUACGUGCCAGCAGCCGCGGUAAUACGUAGGUGGCAAGCGUUGUCCGGAUUUAUUGGGCGUAAAGCGAGCGCAGGCGGUUUCUUAAGUCUGAUGUGAAAGCCCCCGGCUCAACCGGGGAGGGUCAUUGGAAACUGGGAGACUUGAGUGCAGAAGAGGAGAGUGGAAUUCCAUGUGUAGCGGUGAAAUGCGUAGAUAUAUGGAGGAACACCAGUGGCGAAGGCGGCUCUCUGGUCUGUAACUGACGCUGAGGCUCGAAAGCGUGGGGAGCAAACAGGAUUAGAUACCCUGGUAGUCCACGCCGUAAACGAUGAGUGCUAAGUGUUGGAGGGUUUCCGCCCUUCAGUGCUGCAGCUAACGCAUUAAGCACUCCGCCUGGGGAGUACGACCGCAAGGUUGAAACUCAAAGGAAUUGACGGGGGCCCGCACAAGCGGUGGAGCAUGUGGUUUAAUUCGAAGCAACGCGAAGAACCUUACCAGGUCUUGACAUCCUUUGACCACUCUAGAGAUAGAGCUUCCCCUUCGGGGGCAAAGUGACAGGUGGUGCAUGGUUGUCGUCAGCUCGUGUCGUGAGAUGUUGGGUUAAGUCCCGCAACGAGCGCAACCCUUAUUGUUAGUUGCCAUCAUUCAGUUGGGCACUCUAGCAAGACUGCCGGUGACAAACCGGAGGAAGGUGGGGAUGACGUCAAAUCAUCAUGCCCCUUAUGACCUGGGCUACACACGUGCUACAAUGGGAAGUACAACGAGUCGCGAAGUCGCGAGGCUAAGCUAAUCUCUUAAAGCUUCUCUCAGUUCGGAUUGUAGGCUGCAACUCGCCUACAUGAAGCCGGAAUCGCUAGUAAUCGCGGAUCAGCACGCCGCGGUGAAUACGUUCCCGGGCCUUG